GUUGCAGUUAAAAAGCUCGUAGUUGGAUUUCUGCGGGGGCGGGGCGGCCGGUUGCUUAUAGCAACUCGAGCUAGCACUUCCCCCGCAUCCUGCCGCGAACCGUGCUACCAUUAGUUUGGUGGCGCUGGGGAUCGGCUCGUUUACUUUGAGAAAAAUAGAGUGUUCAAAGCAGGCCACACGCCUUGAAUAAGUUAGCAUGGAAUAAUGAUAAAGGACUUCGGUUCUAUUUUGUUGGUGUUCGGGACUGAAGUAAUGAUUGAUAGGGACAGUUGGGGCGGUCAGUAUUCCAAAGCGAGAGGUGAAAUUCUCAGACCUUCGGAAGACUAACAGCUGCGAAAGCGUUCCGCAAGGAUGUUCCCUUUGAUCAAGAACGAAAGUUGGGGGAUCGAAGACGAUCAGAUACCGUCGUAGUCUCAACUAUAAACUAUACCAGCUAGGGAUCGGCCGACGUUUACUUAUAUCGACUCGGUCGGCACCUUAUGAGAAAUCAAAGCAUCUGGGUUCCGGGGGGAGUAUGGUCGCAAGGCUGAAACUUAAAGGAAUUGACGGAAAGGCACCAC
RNAcentral lists this ribosomal RNA (560 nucleotides) under uncultured marine eukaryote. RNAcentral describes it as "bacterial SSU rRNA". It matches the Rfam family "Eukaryotic small subunit ribosomal RNA", at positions 612 to 1170 of the family's 1831-position model. The record is from RNAcentral.